CUCUUUCAGAGGACCCACUUUCAUGGAAGA
Molecule: non-coding RNA, 30 nt
Filed under: Mus musculus (house mouse)
Lineage: Eukaryota; Metazoa; Chordata; Mammalia; Rodentia; Muridae
Source: RNAcentral